This is a long non-coding RNA of Sinocyclocheilus grahami, 90 nucleotides long. RefSeq lists it as uncharacterized. The transcript is spliced from 3 exons. The record is from RefSeq and is a predicted model, not a curated record. NCBI's taxonomy places the organism in Eukaryota, Metazoa, Chordata, Actinopteri, Cypriniformes, Cyprinidae.
AUGCUCCUAACACUCCUCUAGACUUACUAUUGAGUGUAUUUUUAUGAGUUGAAGAGGCAGUUGCUUCGAGCAGUACGCGCAGUCUUCGCC